RNAcentral lists this ribosomal RNA (519 nucleotides) under uncultured bacterium. RNAcentral's name for it is "bacterial SSU rRNA". It matches the Rfam family "Bacterial small subunit ribosomal RNA", at positions 29 to 525 of the family's 1533-position model. The record is from RNAcentral.
AGCGAACGUUAGCGGCGGGCCUAACACAUGCAAGUCGAACGCGAAAGGUCUUCGGACUGAGUAGAGUGGCGCACGGGUGAGUAACACGUAGGUAAUCUACCCUUUGGCGGGGGAUAACGUUCCGAAAGGAGCGCUAAUACCGCAUAAGACCACGUGGUCUCCGGACCGAGUGGGAAAAGGUGGCCUCUUCUUGAAAGCUACCACCGAAGGAUGAGCCUGCGUCCCAUCAGCUAGUUGGUAAGGUAAUGGCUUACCAAGGCGAAGACGGGUAGCUGGUUUGAGAGAAUGAUCAGCCACACUGGCACUGGAACACGGGCCAGACUCCUACGGGAGGCAGCAGUGAGGAAUAUUGGGCAAUGGGCGAAAGCCUGACCCAGCCACGCCGCGUGAGUGGUGAAGGCCCUCGGGUCGUAAAGCUCUGUGGAGAGGGACGAAAACCCUGGUUUCAAAUAGGCUCCAGGCUUGACGGUACCUCUUUAGCAAGCACCGGCUAACUCUGUGCCAGCAGCCGCGGUAAAG